RNAcentral lists this ribosomal RNA (328 nucleotides) under uncultured eukaryote. Its description in RNAcentral is "partial 18S ribosomal RNA". It matches the Rfam family "Eukaryotic small subunit ribosomal RNA", at positions 1470 to 1796 of the family's 1831-position model. The record is from RNAcentral.
CCCUUAGAUGUCCGGGGCUGCACGCGCGCUACACUGAAGGAAUCAGCGUGCUAAAACCAUUGUCGAAAGGCAUUGGUAAACCCAUUAAAAUCCUACGUGAUUGGGAUCGGGAAUUGCAAUUAUUUCCCUUGAACGAGGAAUUCCCAGUAAGUGUGGGUCAUAAGCUCGCGCUGAUUACGUCCCUGCCCUUUGUACACACCGCCCGUCGCUGCCCGGGACUGAGCCGUUUCGAGAAAAGCGGGGACUGCUGCUGUCGGGGCUUUCGGGCCUUGGCUUCGGUGGAAACCGCUUUAAUCGCAGUGGCUUGAACCGGGCAAAANUCGUANCA